RNAcentral lists this long non-coding RNA (852 nucleotides) under Musa acuminata (dwarf banana). Its description in RNAcentral is "long non-coding RNA (MACU_LNC001802)". The record is from RNAcentral. Lineage: Eukaryota; Viridiplantae; Streptophyta; Magnoliopsida; Zingiberales; Musaceae.
CUCCCAUCGUUGGCCUCGGAUGCGUCCCCGACCUCGUCCGCCUCGGAUGCGCCGGGCUCGUUGCUGCAGCUCCCGGUCAUUACGAUCCACGAAGAAGCAAAAUAAUUAAAGCUGUACCAACUAUAUGCUCCGCAGCUGAUCCUCCAAGGCAAGCACUCAAUCACUCACUUUGCUCGAACCGGACAAGAGAGCUUUGCACCAACAUGGCACAAAAGAGCUUUCUUGGGGAAUGGAUAGAGGAAGAAGAGAAACGGGGAGAGGUGAAGGGUGUUGGGUGGAGGAGCAGAUGGGGACAGGAGGCAGUUCUAGUAGUCAUCGCAGGCGCACAUCCAAGCUAUUAAAAAAGCACAUAAUGGCCGGGUCGCCUGGGCUAGACUUUGUCUACGAGUUGCUCGCCAUGACUGCACGGGGAGAGGAAGAGGAUGAAGCGAUGUGGGGGCACAUAACUCCACCUAAACUACUGAAAGAGGCCCGCCCCCACCAUCAUGCCAAUAUAUUAGUGGUAGCAGCCCCAGCCAUGCCCUUCUAUUAUUGAACCGAUGAGAUCCGGAACAUGAGGGAGGCGAGCUUCACGAUGGCAACUUGCUUUUGCUAAUCAUCUUCUCUUUUCACAGCUAUUUCGUCUUGAGGAUAAGUUCCCCAUCUGCUAUUGGUGAGUCGGGAUGCCGUGGGACCCGGUGAAUCCAUCAACCUCGAGUCACCUUCAUCUAGAAAGCCUGGAGUCUGGACCCUGUCUGAGCUCACACAGCUACGCAAAUCUUCCUUGUCAUUUGCCUUGGUGCAUAAGAAACUUGGCCUUUUUUUUCUUUCUUCUUCACGUCAGCGAUGGGAUUAAUUAUAAAUCAAGCGGCU